UACGGAGGAUCCAAGCGUUAUCCGGAUUUAUUGGGUUUAAAGGGUGCGUAGGCGGCUUAUUAAGUCAGGGGUGAAAGACGGUGGCUCAACCAUCGCAGUGCCCUUGAUACUGAUGAGCUUGAAUACACUAGAGGUAGGCGGAAUGUGACAAGUAGCGGUGAAAUGCAUAGAUAUGUCACAGAACACCGAUUGCGAAGGCAGCUUACUACGGUGUCAUUGACGCUGAGGCACGAAAGCGUGGGGAUCAAACAGG
This 253-nucleotide ribosomal RNA is filed under the name uncultured bacterium. RNAcentral's name for it is "partial 16S ribosomal RNA". It matches the Rfam family "Bacterial small subunit ribosomal RNA", at positions 524 to 776 of the family's 1533-position model. The record is from RNAcentral.